RNAcentral lists this small RNA (127 nucleotides) under Marmota monax (woodchuck). The record is from RNAcentral. Lineage: Eukaryota; Metazoa; Chordata; Mammalia; Rodentia; Sciuridae.
GCCAGGCAUGGUGGUGCAUGCCUGUAAUCCCAGCAAUUUGGGAGGCUGAAGCAGGGGGGUCACAAGUUCGAGGCCAGCCCCAGCAACUUAGCAAGGCCCUAAGCAACUUAGUGAGAACCUAUUUCAA